UAUAUACUCCAUCCGUCCGAAAAUACUUGUUCUAGAAAUGGAUAUAAUGAAUGUAUCUAUAACUAAAAUAAGUCUAGAUAUACAUUUAUCUCUAGGAUAAGUAUUUUCGGACGAAGGAAGUAUAAU
This is a non-coding RNA of Hordeum vulgare subsp. vulgare (domesticated barley), 126 nucleotides long. NCBI's taxonomy places the organism in Eukaryota, Viridiplantae, Streptophyta, Magnoliopsida, Poales, Poaceae. The record is from Rfam.